Molecule: ribosomal RNA, 465 nt
Filed under: uncultured bacterium
Lineage: Bacteria
Description: partial 16S ribosomal RNA
Rfam family: Bacterial small subunit ribosomal RNA
Source: RNAcentral
CCUACGGGAGGCAGCAGUGGGGAAUAUUGCGCAAUGGGCGAAAGCCUGACGCAGCGACGCCGCGUGAGGGAUGAAGGUCUUCGGAUCGGAAACCUCUGUCAGCAGGGAAGAACGGUCACUGUGCUAAUCAUCAGUGAAUUGACGGUACCUGCAAAGGAAGCACCGGCUAACUCCGUGCCAGCAGCCGCGGUAAUACGGAGGGUGCGAGCGUUAAUCGGAAUUACUGGGCGUAAAGGGCUCGUAGGCGGUAUGUCAAGUCAAGGGUGAAAUCCCCGCGCUCAACGUGGGAACUGCCUUUGAAAACGGUAAAGUGGAGUGUGUGAGAGGAUAGUGGAAUUCCAGGUGUAGGAGUGAAAUCCGUAGAGAUCUGGAGGAACAUCAGUGGCGAAGGCGACUAACCGGGACAUAACUGACGCUGAGGAGCGAAAGCGUGGGUAGCAAACAGGAUUAGAUACCCUAGUAGUC